AUAGUGAUUUUUUAAAAAUUAUUACUGUAGGAAAUAGUGAUGUAGUUAUAAAAUAAUUUUCAAAAUAGAAAAUACUGUUUUGUGAUCUUUUCUCAUGUAUUUUGUACAUAUCUUUAAGAUUAAAAUAGUUGUCUGUCUGAACUAUUUGAAACUUGUUUUUCACCUUCCUAUUUAUUCACUGAUUCAAAUUUAAUGCACUACUCAAUUUAUUUCGAUAUCUUUGGUAACUAUGAACAGGUCCAGUCAGGCAUUUGAGUGAGUAUGAUAGUGUCAGGGGUAGGGUCAUAGAGGAAGAGUACAGCCAGUGUCAAGUAAAUUAUUCUACGGAAGGAUUCUUUGGCGCUUCAGAGAAACGGCUUCACACCAGUAAACCUAGGACUUAGAUCCUCGAACGAGAUAGAUGAUAGAUUCAUUCAUCAUCAGGCUUUUCAAAACUGCGGACUGCAAAAAGAAGGCUCGGUGAAAAUAACCUCGGUACCUGACGCAUAGACUUCUUACCACAGAGCAGAAAAUGGCCAGAAAUCAAUUUCCUACAGGAGCGUGUGAGUAUGAUAGAUUCAUGGACAUUGGAAGAUUGGGCACAAGUUCUCUUUAUAGAUGAGGCGAGAGUUGGCCUCAGAUCUUCAGAUGGAGAUUAAUUUCUUAUGGAUACGCUCAGUAGAAAGGUACACUAUGGUUUCUCAGGUGGCAUUCCACAGUGGAUCGUUGAUAUUGGCAUUUCCUUAGACCCUCUCUCCAAACUAGUUGUGCGAGGAAGAUUUUUUUAAACGUUACUCAAUAAUUUGGUAAUAAACAUUUUUUUAAA
Molecule: long non-coding RNA, 805 nt
Filed under: Cimex lectularius (bed bug)
Lineage: Eukaryota; Metazoa; Arthropoda; Insecta; Hemiptera; Cimicidae
Description: uncharacterized LOC112126999, transcript variant X1
Source: RNAcentral